AAGAUUCAGCGGAAGCAACAAUAUCUGAGUACAGACAUAAGUUAAACAAGACUGCCUUAAGAAGGCUAGCACAAAAGAAAAACGAUCGAAGAGGCAAGGCCUCCUGCCUGGGACCUCCUAACUACUCCUAGUCUUCGGCGGCCUCCAUGUAGCAGCAUCCGUCGAUGGUGGCAUCUGGCUCCAGGGAUCCACCAUCUGGUUGCAUCAACCGGAAAGGAGAAAGAAGGGGAAAAUGGGUAGCAAAGCAACCGUGAGUACUCAUCCAAAGUACUCGCAAGCAUCAGAUCUAUACUAAGUAUGCAUUGGUAUCAAAUGAAAGGGUUGUAUCUGUGGACUGGACUGCAGAAUGCCAGAAUAGAGGGGGAAGGCCUAGCCUAUCGAAGACUAGCAUCUUCAAGCAGCUCCGAGCAUCUUGCAGCAUGUAGAAGAGUAAAGAAUAGCAGUUUAUUUAACAAACAUGUUGUAACAUUAAUGCCCAGAGAUCCUUCCUCGACUCCCUGCGAGAAAGCAAUCUCGGAGCCACAUAUCUCAAGUAUCCAUUUGUAGUUGUAUAAGAUCAGGAUAUAAGUCUCAACGUCCAUUACCAUGGACACGGUAUUCGAAUAUAUAACUUUCCUGCAGGGGUGCACCACGUUACCCAACACGCUCGAUCACUCUGGCCAGACACACCUUUCUGGGGUCAAUGCCCGCCCUCGGAAGAUCAACACGUCGCAGCCCGACCUAGGCUCAGCAGAGAGGUCCCCGCCGGUCUACAUCCUAAGCACUCCGGGGUCUUGGGCCCAUCGCCCGCAGCACUCCGGGUCGUUGCGCGCAGGGUGAAUACCAGCACCGCCUCGGAUGGCCAGCACGAUCUGACCGUGCCGCACUGCUGAACUGGACGUCUGACAAAGCUUCGGCUGAUACUGCGACGUCGAGGCCCAUAUCUAUUCUCGCGUGGUGGUUAGUGCGUAAAGGCCAGAGGCCAACUCAGAACAAAUACCCAAACCAUAGUGUAUUAUUAGCUUGCGGAGACGAGCAGAGACUCACGAUCGAAAGUGACCCCGUCGCCCCAUCUCGUGGACUUACGGCAAGGGCUCAGAAUGCCCGGCCGUGCCACGUCAUUAUCUUGCGGGUGCUCUCCAGGCCCGCCCGACUUUCACCAAGGUCUCAAGUAAAGUCAAUUGUAACCGUGUGUCCAGUCAUCAAGGGGAAAAUCCGAGGAAUCACCCCCGGGGAUUCCACUCAAUGUAAUCAUCAAGGUGAAUGUAAGAGGGACCACCCUCGAGGUUCACUCUUGAGGUGUUGAAUGACAGAGCCGUAUCGGGAAUGGUGAAAGAGGAAAUCACCCUCGAUGACCACGACCGAAUAGCUACACUACAGAAUUAUCAUCAGGAGUGCGUUAUGAGGGAUGACCCUCGGCACUUGAUAGUAGCUCCGUAGAGUCGAGCAACAAAAGGGGCGUGAUGUGAUGUGAGGUGUCGGGCUCUGAUCCUCGAUCACGCUGAUUGAGUCGUCGAUGAUGAAGCAGGGACAACAAGGACAAGUACUGGGGGUCACUGAUGGAUCACUAACCAACCUAUACUAAGCAGUUUAAAAUAAGCAGGUAGGUAUCAACAUCAGGUACAAAAGCAGGCUAUGCAUCAGAAUAGGAGCAAACAAUAACAGUAGCAAAAUCUAAUGCAAGCAUGAGAGAAUAGAAUGGGCGAUAUCGGGAUGAUCAAAGGGGGGGCUUGCCUGGUUGCUCAGACAAGAAGGAGGGUCGUUGUCGACGUUGUCGAUCACAGGGGCAUCAGUGGCGGCCUCGAGGUCUACCGGAGAAGAAGAGGGGGAAGAAAGAGUAAAUACACACAAACAUAAGCAUAACAAAACAAUAAGCGGUGCUAGAGGUGUUCUAACGCAAUGCUACGCGAUACCGGUGAAGUGGGAUAACAUCCGGGAAAGUUUUCCCAGAGUUUGUCAUUUUCGGACAGACGAAACGGAGGGGGAAAGUCUCAUGUUCGCUAUGAUAGGGCACGUGACAGAUGAACGAAGAGCGUAUUCGAAUUCGUCUCGUUGUUCUGAGCAACUUUCAUGUACAGAACUUUUUCAUCCGAGCUACGGAUUAUUUUAUAUGAUUUUCUAUAGUUUUAAUCAAUUUCUAAAAAUUUCUGGUUUUAUAUUAAUUUGUUUUAAUCCGAGUUGAUCAAGUCAACUUUGACUAGUCAAAAAGGAAGGGUGUAGCCCGCACGUCAUAGGUUGUACCUAAACAAUAAAAUAAAACUAAUCUAAUUGAAAGGGGCCCACAUGUCAUCUACACAUAUUCUAAUCAAGUACUCCCUCCGUCCCAAAAUUCUUUCUUUUAGAACAAAGACGUCAGAUGCAUCCGGCUUUAAAUUAAUAAAGCCCAACGGCAGCAUACCAAACCAAGUCUUAAUACAUCACCAAAAGCCCUGCCGUCCCAAAAUCUUGUCUUGGAUUUGGCUAGAUAUGGAUGUAUUUAAUACUAAAAUCUGACUUGAUACAUCCGUAUUUAGACAAAUCUAAGACAAGAAUUUUAGAACGGAGGGAGUAAUCUAAUUAACCUAACUAUUGCUAGACUAAUCUAUCAGGGCCGGCCAUGCUGGGCACUAGUAUGUUGGCUGAACAUGGUAGGCACGCAUGCACGGGAGUGCACAGCGGCCAUGGCCUACGGUGGCAGCAGCAAGCAGUAGCCAAGAGCAACAGCGGUAGGGAUUAAGAGCAGCAGCGACAGGGAUUAGGAGCAGGGAGCAGCAGUAGUGGCAGCAUAGCAGCAGCGGCAGUAGGCGAGCAGCAGGCGAGUAGUAGCAAAGAAGAGCAGCGGCUAGUGACCGCAGCAACAACAGCGCUAGCAGCACAACACGCAAGAGACACAGGGCACGCGAGAGCGCAGGUGGGCGCGCGCAUGGCUCGGCCAGCCGUAACAGGAGCGAGGCACGUCCCGGCCAUGACGAGCACGGGCGUGGGCAGCGGCAGGUGCACGACGGCGGGUGUGGGCGUGCACGAGCGCAAGGGCGCGGCAGGGGCAUGCGUGUGCGCGCGGGAGGAGAGCUCCGGCCCAUAGUAGCCGGGUUCGCGGGUCGGUGGCGCGAUCCACGUCCCGGGGUCGAUCGACCCCGAUCGAGGGUCGGGGACGACGCCGGGUCGAGCUGGAUCGAUUGCUGGAUCACGACCCGGAUCGAUGGACGCUGACCCAGAUUGAGGUGCAAGAUUCCAAGAAGCCAGAAUGCAAGAUCGCUAGAAACACGUACGAAUCCAUGGGGAAUUGAUGCUUACCAGGCAAUGGCACUACAAAAUACUAAACUCUGCCCGUAGCCACCCUGCUGGAGUCCAACCUUCCACGAUCCCCUGCUCGCCUGCCGGAAUUCGAGCUGUCCGCCGCCGUAUGCGGCAUCUCCCGUCCUGCACUCCCGCUACCACCAUUGGUACGACCUUACGCGAGCUGCGAGCUACGAGCCGCUUGGAUUCCGACGCCGAUUAGGGAAGUUCGAGGCAGAAGAAUGGUGGGAAGGGCAAACAUGAGAGCACCGAGGCUGACGGUGGGAGGCUCGGAGCUUGAUCCUUGCCGGACUUGUGGUUUGAAGAUGGAUCGAUAGAGGACGAACUGGGAUUUAGGGAUAAUUGGUUGACAAACUCUUCGUGGGAAAGUAAUAAUGGCAGAUGAGAAAAAUCACGCCAUAAGGGCUGACUUGUGGCCCAUUUAGUAAUCUUUUUUGUUUUUCGGAAGUAUAAUGCGGGAUUUUUCCCUCUGCAAUAUAAGGAAAUACAUCAUUACAGAUCGUCAAGGGCAUUCUUUCCUUCCAACUUCAUCCCGAUUGUGUACCAUCGUACCGGGGUCAUCGACCCGAAGCCCUUUGGAUCGCGAUACCUGUCCCCGAUUAGCGUCCCGAAGAUGUAUACCCCUUGUCGAACCACGUUCCGGAGGGGUGUCGACCCUCGACCCUCGACCCCGUUCCUCGACCCGGGCGACCCGGAUUCCUGGCAACUAUGCUCCGGCCACGGCGGACUGCGGAGCCGAAGCUCACGGGUAACGGUGCUACGGCGACUACGGCAACAAGGGAAAGGGGGAAUGGGGUGGUGCUCACCGUGUGGACGCACGGAGGUCCGAUGGAGGUUUAGGAGCUGCAGAGCUCGUCGCAGACGGAGAAGACGCCGGGGUCGGAGGAGAACGGCGGCGGUCGGAGGAGGAAGAUGGAGUCGUAGUGGUCGCAGCUGUGCUCCCCGGCUCCAGUGGAGGGCACCAGAAGAUGGGCGGAGGCCGGCGGGAUCCGUGGACUUGAGCUGUGGACGCGGAGAGGACGGUGGCCGCGGUGGCGCAGCAGCAAUGGCGACGGGCGCGUCGGCGAGAGGCGGAUCUGGAGGAGUGGAGAGGCAGAGAGAGCAAGGAGGGGGCGCACUGGGA
RNAcentral lists this long non-coding RNA (4378 nucleotides) under Triticum aestivum (bread wheat). RNAcentral describes it as "long non-coding RNA (TAES_LNC007050)". The stretch from base 2403 to 2531 matches the Rfam family "MIR1120/MIR1122 microRNA precursor family". Lineage: Eukaryota; Viridiplantae; Streptophyta; Magnoliopsida; Poales; Poaceae. The record is from RNAcentral.